This 514-nucleotide ribosomal RNA is filed under the name Deroplatys truncata. RNAcentral's name for it is "partial 16S ribosomal RNA". It matches the Rfam family "Bacterial large subunit ribosomal RNA", at positions 1881 to 2600 of the family's 2925-position model. The record is from RNAcentral. Lineage: Eukaryota; Metazoa; Arthropoda; Insecta; Mantodea; Mantidae.
GGUUUCUUGGGGAAGUAGGAAAUUUAACCUGCCCACUGAAUGUAAUUUAAAGGGCCGCAGUAUAUUGACUGUGCAAAGGUAGCAUAAUCAUUAGUCUUUUAAUUGAGGGCUAGUAUGAAGGGUUGGAUGAAGUAAAAACUAUUUUAUAAUAAUUUAGUUUAACUUAGAUUUUAAGUAAAAAUACUUAAAUUAAAUUAAGGGACGAGAAGACCCUAUAGAGUUUAAUAUAUAUUUGAAUUUAAUAAAGUUAAAAUAAUGAAUUUAUUGUUUAUGUAGAAUAUAUUUAAUUGGGGUGAUUAAAAGAUAAAAUGAACUCUUUUUUGAGUUUAAUAUUAUACUAAGUUUUAAGAUCCAAAGUUGAUGAUUUAAAGAUUAAAUUACCUUAGGGAUAACAGCAUAAUUUUUUUUGAAAGUUCAUAUUGAAAAAAAAGAUUAUGACCUCGAUGUUGGAUUAAGAUUAGUUUUAAAUGUAGAUGUUUAAUAAUUGGGUCUGUUCGACCUUGAAAUUCUUACA